GGGGGGGGGGGACACAAAAUAAAAGGUUAGAAUCUAAAUCAGAGAAAACUGCUUUUAGAAGCGAAAAAUGUAAUUAAUUAUGUAGCCUAAAAACAAAGCAGAUGGCGAGAGAGAAGGCUCUGGCAACUCCUAAAGCCGUUUGUCCUGGGCAGACCUUUGCACUGUGACAGCUUGCUUACUCUCAUUACAAGUCCCGUGACUUCAGUUGGCUCUCCUGCCUUCAGAUGCAGUGCUUUGUAUUGAAUAUAGCCAAAUUCUGCUUUACGGGGAACUUGGUUGUUGUCGUUUAAGCUUUGGGUACAAUUAUAUUUCACAUUUCCAGGUGAUUUCCAUCAUGCUGUUCAGAAAGAAAGGCCUUAAAAUUGGCCUUUUGUAUUUUGCAGUGAGAUGGACUAAAUUGAACAUAAUAUACCAAGCUGUGAUCUGGCAUGUAAGAAACUGAUUUGGUCAUUUUCAAGAUGCCCUUCGUAAAAGGUCAUCAUAGUGGAUUGGAGACUAGUUUCCGGCCUCAUUUUAAGGUUUCAUUUAUAAAUGUUCCUACUUAAAUCCUCCUUAGCAGACAAUUGGCUGGUAAAAUCAUUUUCUGUUAAUGAAGACAGUGGUUUUUAAGUUAGGGGUACAGCAUUACCGAUAGUGUGAGGCCAUGUUUAUAGGCUGUAGCUCAGGUGCCUGGGGCAGUGACCACCUAGGAUGUUAAUUGCUAGUAUGAGCUCCUAACCUGGGAGCACACAAACAUCCUCUAGAGAUUUUUAAAGGAAAACUGAUGAAUUAGCCCCGCUUUGAUGGAAUCCCUGGUGGGAUGAGAGACUAGCUAGCAUGCUUCCCAAGAUCUUCUCCAGGUUUCAAACACUCCCCGCUCUCUGAACACUGUGCACAGCAGAGGAGACGGGAGAGUACUGUUGUCACUAGUUCAUAUCUUGGAGCAGCUAAUGGCAAAGCUGGGGCUAGAAUUCAGGAGUCCUGACAUUUGGCAUCUCUCCACAGCCUGCUGCCUUGUGAGAUGCCGAGCUAGACAAUCAGUGUGCAUGGUGCUGCACACUUCUAAAGCACAGGCUCUGGCAGGCCUGGCCAGGGAGGGCUUGGAUGUUUGGUAAUGGCAGUGUAGCUGGACAAGCCUUUAGUAGAACUCCGCUCUGAAGAGAACUUAGCACUGUUCUUCUAGACCUCAGGCACACAUAGAGAUCUGCACUUUGUAGUUGAAGAAUACCAGCUUGAGUUGUUUAAAAACAAGAAGGAAAAAAAAAAACAAACUAGUCCUACACUCUUUUUUGUUCAAAAAGCAAUGUGUUGUUCAGUGUCAUUUUAAUGCAUGUGAGGUAGUGUAUCUGAAAGCACCUUGAGAAAUCAAAUGCAUUCACUGUAAAGCUGAAUUGCGAAUGUGUGUAGAGGAUGAGCUGACCUGGACCUGGAGCUAGAGGCUCACCCUCUGCUGUGGUUUGUUGCAGACAUAGGUCCGACACUGCUAAAUGUGCAUGGGAAGACACGGCGCUGUUUGCUAACAGUUUAGAGCUGAGCAGCUUCAGGAAAUUAGGGGCCAAGUCUUUGGUUUAAUUCUCAUCUUUAAGAAGUAGUCAAGUGGUGGCGUGCAAUCCAGCAGUGAAGAGGCUAAGGCAAGAGAGUCUCAGGUUCUAGACCAGCCUCGGCCUCAGGAGAUGCAAAGGAGGAAUAGAUUACUCCCGGUGGAGCCAGCAGCUUUUCCAGGCCCUUGACUGGAAGAUGAAGACCCCCUUCCUCUUGAGCAGUCCUCUGCUACAUGCUCGGCUUUUGGUGUGGUAGGAGCAGACUCAUCUCCUGUUUAUGUUGACACUUUCUUUUAAAAACUAAUGUCUUGGGGUGGGGGGAAAGUUGGGGGUAGAAGACUGAUGUACUUGGAGAAUUUCUAGAAUUUUCUCCCAGUUAUAAAUGACAGUGACUCCUUUAAAAGAAGAGUAGCUGAGCUUAACUCACCUGUUAGAUUAUCAUGUAUUCCAAAAAAUCAUGUGGAGGUGGCCUGCGUAGAGCGGCACUCUAGUCUCUUCCCCUGCCCCGCCUUUUCUACCUUUGCUAGUGAUGCCCUGUUCAUUGGGCUGUAUCUUCAGGGGAGUUGGUAUUGGGUUGACAGAGUCAUCUUUAUUUCUGUUCUCAAUGAUCUGUGUCAUCACCUUGCAUGCAUUAACUUGCUUCAUUUGAAUCUGACAUACAUCUUUAUGCCCUCAGCAUCUGCUAUGGCCAGUACUUUCUGUAUUUCUUGUCAGCUGCUUUAGCUUGGUCAAGCCUGGUAGCUUAGUUCUUUGGAUUUUGUAGGCAUGCAGAGGCCUAGAGCAAGGCAGUUCCUAGGGAACCUGUGCUCAGACUGCCGGAGGCAGCCUAAGGGUGCCUAUGGCUCCCAUGCUGCCGUCACCUCUGAGGCAGAGAGGCGAGACCUUGGGAUGGUCCUAACACUUGGUCUACUCCUAAGUCUUAUGCAUAGAGUUCCAGUUUUCCAGCUUAGGACUCAGGAGUGCUUGGAGUGGUGGUUGUUCCUGUUACCUGUGCUGAUGAGCCCAGCACAGUGACCCAACUUCAGUGCUGUUGCCUGUGAUCCUGUUACUACGGAGGCUGGCUCAGCUCACCCUGCUCCACUGCCAUGUGUUUGUGUUCCAUCUUGACUAGGUAAUGAUAACUCUUCUUUUAGACUAGCUCCCCAGGUGCCUCAGGAGGACCCUGGAUGGAGUCUGGGCAGUUUAUCUUGAUAAGAAACUGACAGAAGCCUUGAUUAGAAACUGACAGAAGCCGUUUAAUCCCAGCACUUGGGAGGCAGAGGCAGAGGCAGGUGGAUUUCUGAGUUCGAGGCCAGCCUGGUCUACAGAAUGAGUUCCAGGACAGCCAGGGCUACACAGAGAAACCCUGUCUCGGGGGGG
Molecule: long non-coding RNA, 2879 nt
Filed under: Mus musculus (house mouse)
Lineage: Eukaryota; Metazoa; Chordata; Mammalia; Rodentia; Muridae
Description: long non-coding RNA chr1:156645147-156648026
Source: RNAcentral